UAUUCGCCCGGGAACUACGAGCCCCAGCUUUAACCCCAAAGGAGUUGGCGGUGCUUUAUAUUCUACUUGAGGAGCCUGUUCUAGAAACGAUAACCCCCGUUCAAACUCACCUUUCCUUGUUUUUCCCGCCUAUAUACCGCCGUCGUGAGCCCACCCUAUGAGGGUUUAAAAGUAGGGUUAAUUGGCACAGCCCAGAACGUUAGGGCGAGGUGUAGCGUAUGGAAAGGGAAGAAAUGGGCUACAUUCCCUAUGUUAGGGGCACCAAUGGUGUGCUGAAACGCACAUCUUGAAGGAGGAUUUAGCCAGUAA
RNAcentral lists this ribosomal RNA (309 nucleotides) under Sebastes brevispinis (silvergray rockfish). RNAcentral's name for it is "partial 12S ribosomal RNA". It matches the Rfam family "Bacterial small subunit ribosomal RNA", at positions 866 to 1341 of the family's 1533-position model. The record is from RNAcentral. Lineage: Eukaryota; Metazoa; Chordata; Actinopteri; Perciformes; Sebastidae.